Oncorhynchus masou masou (cherry salmon) is the source of this 3516-nucleotide long non-coding RNA. RefSeq lists it as uncharacterized. Lineage: Eukaryota; Metazoa; Chordata; Actinopteri; Salmoniformes; Salmonidae. The transcript has 2 exons. The record is from RefSeq and is a predicted model, not a curated record.
GGGAUCCUCUCAGUUUACCCUGUAGGUAUCCUCUCAGUUUACCCUGUAGGUAUCCUCUCAGUUUACCCUGUAGUUAUCCUCUCAGUUUACCCUGUAGUUAUCCUCUCAGUUUACCCUGUAGGUAUCCUCUCAGUUUACCCUGUAGGUAUCCUCUCAGUUUACCCUGUAGUUAUCCUCUCAGUUUACCCUGUAGGUAUCCUCUCAGUUUACCCUGUAGGUAUCCAUCAGUUUACCCUGUAGGUAUCCAUCAGUUUACCCUGUAGGUAUCCUCUCAGUUUACCCUGUAGGGAUCCUCUCAGUUUACCCUGUAGGGAUCCUCUCAGUUUACCCUGUAGGUAUCCUCUCAGUUUACCCUGUAGGUAUCCAUCAGUUUACCCUGUAGGUAUCCAUCAGUUUACCCUGUAGGUAUCCAUCAGUUUACCCUGUAGGGAUCCUCUCAGUUUACCCUGUAGGUAUCCUCUCAGUUUACCCUGUAGGUAUCCUCUCAGUGUACCCUGUAUCUUGUCACCUAAAUCCUCACACUGACCCAAUGUGACACCUACAGUACCUGUGUCAGAGACUCACCUCUUUCUGCAUCGUUGGAAGAUAACUCUAUUUGAAAACUGAGUUGGAUUAGAGCUACGGCUUUACGCUACUGGAGUGGAGUUGGAUUAGAGCUACGGCUUUACGCUACUGGAGUGGAUUUGGAUUAGUGCUACAGCGUUACGCUACUGGAGUUGAGUUGGAUUAGAGCUAUGGCCUUACGCUACUGGAGUUGAGUUGGAUUAGAGCUACGGCUUUACGCUACUGGAGUGGAUUUGGAUUAGUGCUACAGCGUUACGCUACUGGAGUUGAGUUGGAUUAGAGCUAUGGCCUUACGCUACUGGAGUUGAGUUGGAUUAGAGCUACGGCCUUACGCUACUGGAGUGGAUUUGGAUUAGUGCUACAGCGUUACACUACUGGAGUUGAGUUGGAUUAGUGCUACAGCGUUACGCUACUGGAGUUGAGUUGGAUUAGAACUACGGCGUUACGCUACUGGAGUUGAGUUGGAUUAGAGCUACGGUGUUACGCUACUGGAGUUGAGUUGGAUUAGAGCUACGGCUUGACGCUACUGGAGUUGAGUUGGAUUAGAGCUACGGCGUUACGCUACUGGAGUUGCAUUGUACGGUACUUAAUGUGCGUGCAUGGUGUGCCAAUCCAAUGUUCUAAACCUGAUAUUUGAAAAUAAGACAUUUUAGAAAUGAAUUGAAAUGAUUCAUUUUAAUGAUUAAGUAUAGAGUGCGUUGAAGUUUCUACUUUAUCCAUAUUUAUAACAUAUUUUUUAUCUCCUGAAAUUCCACACCAUUGAUUUAAUGUGUCUUACUGUUAAAGGUGUAUACAGUACAGACUAACCACAUGUGUUUUCCAUUUUUAGUUCUCUCUCUGAAAUACAACAGAACCUGAUGUCCUACCAUUCAUGUGACAUGUAUGGUAGGUUACUGUAAAUGUGACAUGGUAGGUUACUGUAAAUGUGACGUGUCUGGUAGGUUACUGUAAAUGUGACAUGGUAGGUUACUGUAAAUGUGACAUGUAUGGUAGGUUACUGUAAAUGUGACAUGUAUGGUAGGUUACUGUAAAUGUGACAUGUUUGGUAGGUUACUGUAAAUGUGACAUGUAUGGUAGGUUACUGUAAAUGUGACGUGUCUGGUAGGUUACUGUAUAUGUGACAUGUCUGGUAGGUUACUGUAAAUGUGACAUGUCUGGUAGGUUACUGUAAAUGUGACAUGUUUGGUAGGUUACUGUAAAUGUGACAUGUUUGGUAGGUUACUGUAAAUGUGACAUGUAUGGUAGGUUACUGUAAAUGUGACAUGUAUGGUAGGUUACUGUAAAUGUGACAUGUAUGGUAGGUUACUGGAAAUGUGACAAGUCUGGUAGGUUACUGUAAAUGUGACAUGUCUGGUAGGCUACUGUAAAUGUGACAUGUCUGGUAGGUUACUGUAAAUGUGACAUGUUUGGUAGGUUACUGUAAAUGUGACAUGUAUGGUAGGUUACUGUAAAUGUGACAUGUAUGGUAGGUUACUGUAAAUGUGACAUGUUUGGUAGGUUACUGUAAAUGUGACAUGUAUGGUAGGUUACUGUAAAUGUGACAUGUAUGGUAGGUUACUGUAAAUGUGACAUGUUUGGUAGGUUACUGUAAAUGUGACAUGGUAGGUUACUGUAAAUGUGACAUGUUUGGUAGGUUACUGUAUCUGGCAGGGUUCAAACCAUGUAUUACAAUACCCACAGCUCUUACAUUCUGAAGCACAACUCUUGUUUCAGAACGCUCGUUGUAAAUAGUGUCUCGUGUUACUGUACAUUUGAAUUAGGCUGACUUGAUCGUCUUUCCAUUGGUUUAGUGUCCAUUUAAACUGUCAUUUUGAAUUGUAUGACUGCAAGGUAUGUUUAGAUUUUUUUGUGUACGUAUGAUCGUGAGCACAUAUUGUGGUGCAGCACGAUAUACACUUGGAGAAUUUGUACAUUACAGGGCUAUUUUAACGGCAAUGGUUGAAAAAUAUAACAUUGCUCAGAAUAUCGCUCUAAUCUUGGGUUUUAUGCGGUUGAUUUAUUAAAAUAAAUGAUAUUCUGUUGCUGUAAAGGAACUGAUCUGCUGUUGAAUAUCUUCUGAUAAUGGUGGUUAACAAAAAGCUACAACAAACUUUUGGUCAAUUCAGGUUUUUCUUCUACUUUGUUCAUGUUCUUUUAAUGUGUACAUUAUUAUUAUUAUUAUUAUUAUUAUUAUAUAUUUUUUUUUGCGUUUGGUUAUGCUAUUACAUACAGACAGGAAAUCCAAGUUUGCUCACUUACAGGAGUGGUCAAAAGUAGUGCACUACAUAGGGAAUAGGAUGCCAUUUUGAACAAAAUGAGAGUAGAUUAAUAUGUUGUGUGUGUGUGGCAGGGAACAUAGGCCCUGUGGUGCAGGGUAGGUAACCCUGUUCCUGAAGGGCCUCAGGUACAGCAGGAUAUGGUUCCAACUACUCGCCACAUCUGACCAACUGAACCAAUUGAUCAGUUCAGUGAUUGCCUAAAUUCAUCACACCUGGUCUUCUAGGUUGGUUAAAUCCAAACAUGAAGUGCCUGCGUGAGGGUUGUGUUACCCUACUGUGGUGCUAUGAUAAAGGCCCUAUUCAGGAAGUGUCUCAUAAAUGGCUAAAACAGUCUUGUGACCGCUGACCUGGAUUCGAAUCCUAGUCGGUGACACCUUUCACACAGCACCAGGACCUGUAGUCUUAAAGCAUCUCACAGUAGGAGUGCUGAUUUAGAAUCAGUGUAUGCUUUCACAUCAUAAUAAGUAAGAUUACAGUAUAUGGACAGGAUCGAUCUGAUCCUAGAUCAGCACUUAUAUUCUAAGACGCUUUGUGAAUAUGGGCCCAGAGUUAAAUUAAUAGUUUCUUGGAUGUGGUAUUUCUGUAAAAAAAAUAAAAAAUAAUAAUCUGUAUUUGGGAAUAUUUUUGUACAAAUCUGAAUCGGUAAUGUACACAUCUUCAGUGUCAUUAAAACGUGUUCUAUUGUCUAUUUUAA